AAACGUAGGGGGCAAGCGUUGUCCGGAAUUAUUGGGCGUAAAGAGCACGUAGGUGGCUUACCAAGUCAGGUGUGAAAACCUUAGGCUCAACUUAAGGCUUGCAUUUGAAACUGGUAGGCUAGAGUUCAAUAGGGGGAAGUGGAAUUCCCGGUGUAGCGGUGAAAUGCGCAGAUAUCGGGAAGAACACCAGUAGCGAAGGCGGCUUCCUAGAUUGUGACUGACACUGAGGUGCGAAAGCUAGGGUAGCAAACAGGAUUAGAUACCCCAGUAGUCC
RNAcentral lists this ribosomal RNA (274 nucleotides) under uncultured bacterium. RNAcentral describes it as "partial 16S ribosomal RNA". It matches the Rfam family "Bacterial small subunit ribosomal RNA", at positions 523 to 796 of the family's 1533-position model. The record is from RNAcentral.